CACGGUGAAGGUGUAAAGCAGAAGGCUGGCCAAGGACCAAGGUCCCAGCAAAUGAUGCUGGGAGAAGGCACGCGUCUGAGAGUACACAAGUUCCUGCUGAACCAACUGUGUCCCCAGUUCUUGCUUCAAGAAAAUGUGAAACUCUGCACGAGGAUGCUAGCACGUACGAUUCCUGGCUUCUUGGGAAAUCUCACGCACAAAACUGCCUUUCUCCUCUGCACUGACCGAAUCCACAGUGAGACACCGUGAGGGACAAACUCAGGCUGAGAUUGUAGCUCACUGUGAAGUCCUGAGUUCAAUCCCCAAUACUGGAAAAAAAAAAUUACUGCUGAAAAAUGUUAACAAUCACCUUCACUGCUGGAAAAAAUGUCACCAAAAGUCUUGGCUUGACUCGGAG
RNAcentral lists this long non-coding RNA (397 nucleotides) under Heterocephalus glaber (naked mole-rat). RNAcentral describes it as "lncRNA (ENSHGLG00100049878.1)". Lineage: Eukaryota; Metazoa; Chordata; Mammalia; Rodentia; Bathyergidae. The record is from RNAcentral.